CCCUCUCUAAUAUCCCGUGGAUUGAAGACAACUAGUUCCUUAUUUAAAAUAGCGGUUUAUGCUUCUCAAUUAUAUAGACCUAGUCAGCUGGUGGCAAAAAAAAAGAUGCUGAAGGGUGUGAUGAAAAGUCAACAACAACAACCAAGUGAUGGCACGUUCUAAUUAGGAUUCUCAUCGCUAACUUGCAUCCAAAGGACUUGACUCAGCUCGCACAAGUAACAAGGCAAUAUAAACGUAGACCUGCUAAUUGAGACACAUCACCUAUCACUCAU
This 272-nucleotide long non-coding RNA is filed under the name Elaeis guineensis (African oil palm). RNAcentral's name for it is "long non-coding RNA (EGUI_LNC004310)". The record is from RNAcentral. Lineage: Eukaryota; Viridiplantae; Streptophyta; Magnoliopsida; Arecales; Arecaceae.